RNAcentral lists this ribosomal RNA (426 nucleotides) under Megaselia brevicostalis. RNAcentral describes it as "partial 16S ribosomal RNA". The record is from RNAcentral. Lineage: Eukaryota; Metazoa; Arthropoda; Insecta; Diptera; Phoridae.
UUUUAGAAUUUAAUUUAAAGUCUAACCUGCCCACUGAAUAAUUUUAAAUGGCCGCAGUAUCCUAACUGUGCAAAGGUAGCAUAAUCAUUAGUCUUUUAAUUGAAGGCUGGAAUGAAUGGUUGGAUGAAAUAUUAACUGUUUCAUAGAAAUUUAUAAUAGAAUUUUAUUUUUUAGUCAAAAAGCUAAAAUAUAAUUAAAAGACGAGAAGACCCUAUAAAUCUUUAUAUUUAGAUGAUUUUAAUUAUUUAGAUAAAUUAAAUUAUAAUUAUUUUAAAUAUUUUAUUGGGGUGAUAUUAAAAUUUAAUAAACUUUUAAUUUAUAUUAUACAUAAAUUAAUGAAUUAUUGAUCCAUUUAUUAUGAUUAAAAAAUUAAGUUACUUUAGGGAUAACAGCGUAAUUUUUUUAGAGAGUUCAUAUUGAUAAAAA